Lolium rigidum is the source of this 500-nucleotide long non-coding RNA. RefSeq lists it as uncharacterized. The transcript has 3 exons. NCBI's taxonomy places the organism in Eukaryota, Viridiplantae, Streptophyta, Magnoliopsida, Poales, Poaceae. The record is from RefSeq and is a predicted model, not a curated record.
UCGCGACGGACCGGUCCUCCCCCGCGCCUGCAGGGAUGAGCCAUGGUUCACCGCUGGCGAGGUGCCAUUGAAGAUCCCAGGGUUCCAAAAGGAUUCGAGGGAGCGCGGGCGGUGUUGUGCCUCAGUUCAUACCUUGUUGGCGAUGAUGAUUCGUGAUAGCGCCGUGCUGUUGGAUUGAUGCCGCUCGGGAAGAUUGAUCAGCCAGAAGAAUAAUAGCUUCUGACGACGAUCUGGUCAGCUAAUACAAAAGCGAGUUUUCAUCCGGCAAUUCCAUACGCUGCUGCCGGGCAGCUGCAACAAACACCUGACAGAGGCUUAUGAAUGCGCUUUUUCCCAUCUUCCUAAACCGGUAUACCCUCUAGCCGCUAACAAAAACUGUGAGGCCCAAGACCAUGUUCAAGUGGUUAGCCCGCAAUAAAGAAGAGAACAGGAGCAGUUUGCCUAAACCGCUGUCUGUUGCAUUUUAUUUCUGGAAGAUGCACAUGAAACCACAUAGGUAG